UACGGGGGGGGCGAGCGUUGUUCGGAAUUACUGGGCGUAAAGGGCGCGUAGGCGGCCUUCUAAGUCAGACGUGAAAUCCCCAGGCUUAACUUGGGAACUGCGUCUGAUACUGGGAGGCUUGAGUGCGGGAGAGGGAUGUGGAAUUCCAGGUGUAGCGGUGAAAUGCGUAGAUAUCUGGAGGAACACCGGUGGCGAAGGCGGCAUCCUGGACCGACACUGACGCUGAGGCGCGAAAGCUAGGGGAGCAAACGGG
This 253-nucleotide ribosomal RNA is filed under the name uncultured bacterium. RNAcentral describes it as "partial 16S ribosomal RNA". It matches the Rfam family "Bacterial small subunit ribosomal RNA", at positions 524 to 776 of the family's 1533-position model. The record is from RNAcentral.